RNAcentral lists this small RNA (832 nucleotides) under Pan troglodytes (chimpanzee). RNAcentral's name for it is "processed transcript". Lineage: Eukaryota; Metazoa; Chordata; Mammalia; Primates; Hominidae. The record is from RNAcentral.
AAGAAAACAAAAAAAGGUGCUAAAGAAAAAACACCAGAUGAGAAAAAAGAUGAAAUAGAAAAAAUAAAAGCAUAUCCCUAUAUGGAAGGCGAACCUGAGGAUGAUGUCUAUUUAAAACGCUUAUACCCGAGACAGAUAUAUGAGGUGGAGAAAGCUGUUCACUUACUUAAGAAAUUUCAAAUUCUUGACUUUACUAGUCCAAAGCAAAGUGUUUAUCUUGAUUUGACACUGGAUAUGGCACUGGGAAAGAAGAAAAACGUGGAGCCAUUUACCAGUGUUCUUAGUUUGCCAUACCCAUUUGCUUCCGAAAUCAAUAAAGUUGCUGUAUUUACAGAGAAUGCAUCAGAGGUCAAAAUAGCAGAAGAAAAUGGAGCUGCAUUUGCAGGAGGCACUAGUCUGAUACAGAAGAUUUGGGAUGAUGAAAUUGUUGCCGACUUUUACGUAGCUGUUCCAGAAAUAAUGCCUGAACUUAAUCGAUUAAGGAAGAAACUGAAUAAAAAAUAUCCAAAGCUUUCUCGAAAUUUUAAACUGCCUAUGGGUAGUUGCUUUCACUUAUAGCGGUAGUGCUCCUGAGCCAACUGAACAACUGUUGAGAUAAUCCUAGGAAUAAUGUAUGCUGAGGGUAUGCCAUGCUCUCUAUGUAAUGAGUUCCUCACAUUGAUUCAUCUAUGGAAGACUUGCUUGAGCAUGGUGGGAGUGAUGUCUCUUCAGUGGCACAGUCUUCAUUCUAUUUCUUACCCUUUAAAUAAUUCACAUUUUUCAGUGCAUGGAAUUAAAUUUUCAAGAUUCCAUUGGCCGUGACAUCCCCAAAAUGCUUGAAUUAUUUAAAAAU